Molecule: ribosomal RNA, 495 nt
Filed under: uncultured bacterium
Lineage: Bacteria
Description: partial 16S ribosomal RNA
Rfam family: Bacterial small subunit ribosomal RNA
Source: RNAcentral
GACGAACGCUGGCGGCGUGCCUAAUACAUGCAAGUAGAACGCUGAAGGAGGAGCUUGCUUCUCUGGAUGAGUUGCGAACGGGUGAGUAACGCGUAGGUAACCUGCCUGGUAGCGGGGGAUAACUAUUGGAAACGAUAGCUAAUACCGCAUAAGAGUAGAUGUUGCAUGACAUUUGCUUAAAAGGUGCAAUUGCAUCACUACCAGAUGGACCUGCGUUGUAUUAGCUAGUUGGUGGGGUAACGGCUCACCAAGGCGACGAUACAUAGCCGACCUGAGAGGGUGAUCGGCCACACUGGGACUGAGACACGGCCCAGACUCCUACGGGAGGCAGCAGUAGGGAAUCUUCGGCAAGGGACGGAAGUCUGACCGAGCAACGCCGCGUGAGUGAAGAAGGGUUUCGGAUCGUAAAGCUCUGUUGUAAGAGAAGAACGAGUGUGAGAGUGGAAAGUUCACACUGUGACGGUAUCUUACCAGAAAGGGACGGCUAACUACGUG